Molecule: ribosomal RNA, 497 nt
Filed under: uncultured bacterium
Lineage: Bacteria
Description: partial 16S ribosomal RNA
Rfam family: Bacterial small subunit ribosomal RNA
Source: RNAcentral
GAUGAACGCUGGCGGCGUGCCUAAUACAUGCAAGUCGAGCGAACAGACGAGGAGCUUGCUCCUUUGACGUUAGCGGCGGACGGGUGAGUAACACGUGGAUAACCUACCUAUAAGACUGGGAUAACUUCGGGAAACCGGAGCUAAUACCGGAUAACAUGUUGAACCGCAUGGUUCAACAGUGAAAGACGGUCUUGCUGUCACUUAUAGAUGGAUCCGCGCCGCAUUAGCUAGUUGGUAAGGUAACGGCUUACCAAGGCAACGAUGCGUAGCCGACCUGAGAGGGUGAUCGGCCACACUGGAACUGAGACACGGUCCAGACUCCUACGGGAGGCAGCAGUAGGGAAUCUUCCGCAAUGGGCGAAAGCCUGACGGAGCAACGCCGCGUGAGUGAAGAAGGUCUUCGGAUCGUAAAACUCUGUUAUUAGGGAAGAACAAAUGUGUAAGUAACUAUACACGUCUUGACGGUACCUAAUCAGAAAGCCACGGCUAACUACGUG